GAGACUUGUUUCGACUACAUUGCCUGCGGCAACGGGGAAUUCCGUGAAAAUCGGAAACAGUCGCGCUGCGGUAACGGGAUACAACCUCCCAUUGUGCAACACAGGCACGAAAGCCAAUCCGGAACAUCUUCCGGGUGAAGGCGGGAGGAAGGCAUGAAGCCCGGAGUCCGAAUAUCCAAUGCCUGAGGUGAACCACC
RNAcentral lists this non-coding RNA (197 nucleotides) under Akkermansia sp. The record is from RNAcentral. Lineage: Bacteria; Pseudomonadati; Verrucomicrobiota; Verrucomicrobiia; Verrucomicrobiales; Akkermansiaceae.